This 100-nucleotide ribosomal RNA is filed under the name Aliivibrio finisterrensis. RNAcentral's name for it is "partial 16S ribosomal RNA". It matches the Rfam family "Bacterial small subunit ribosomal RNA", at positions 1444 to 1533 of the family's 1533-position model. The record is from RNAcentral. Lineage: Bacteria; Pseudomonadati; Pseudomonadota; Gammaproteobacteria; Vibrionales; Vibrionaceae.
GGGAGGACGCUCACCACUUUGUGGUUCAUGACUGGGGUGAAGUCGUAACAAGGUAGCCCUAGGGGAACCUGGGGCUGGAUCACCUCCUUAAACGAUAGAU